AUCCUCAUGACCUAGUCAUAUUAAUGAGACAAGAAGCAACAGUUAACUACCUCAAAGAAUUAGAGAAACAAUUAGUUGCUCAAAAAAUUCACAUAGAAGAGAAUGAGGACAGAGACACAGGACUGGAACAGAGACAUAAUAAAGAAGACCCAGACUGCAUCAAAGCCAAGGUGCCCUUAGGGGACCUGGAUCUAUAUGAUGGCACAUACAUAACUUUGGAGAGCAAAGACAUCAGUCCUGAAGAUUAUAUAGACACAGAAUCUCCUGUCCCUCCAGACCCAGAGCAACCUGAUUGUACUAAAAUUCUAGAACUUCCAUAUAGUAUACAUGCUUUUCAGCACUUGAGAGUAAGUAGAGAACUUUAGGAUUUUUUUUUUUUUUUGCGUUCUUCUUUCGGUUGGUCUCUCACUUAUAAAGACCAUUUCUCUUUCUUCUCUCCUUCCGAACAGCUUUGUAAUUUUAUAGACAUCUCUUAUUUCUUAAAAUUCCAAAAUAUUAGUAUUUCAAAAUAAACACUAUAAGAUACUGAAUUAUUUGUCAUCUUUUAUAUCCUUUG
Molecule: small RNA, 556 nt
Filed under: Pan troglodytes (chimpanzee)
Lineage: Eukaryota; Metazoa; Chordata; Mammalia; Primates; Hominidae
Description: retained intron
Source: RNAcentral